RNAcentral lists this long non-coding RNA (522 nucleotides) under Rattus norvegicus (Norway rat). Its description in RNAcentral is "long non-coding RNA NONRATT013121". The record is from RNAcentral. Lineage: Eukaryota; Metazoa; Chordata; Mammalia; Rodentia; Muridae.
CCUUUCCUGACGCUUCCUAGUGAACAGAGUCGUUUCAGACAAACCCCUCUUUCCUGGGAGGACUCAGUUUCCCCAGUGGGAGGGAGGAUCCUUUCACAGUCUCCCUCCCAAGCACGCUCCUAAUUGAAUGGUGGCUAUAAAAAUAAUCUUUAGAGAGACGGAGUCUGUAUUUAGCAGGCUUGUUUUCUCUCCUACUAACUUCAGUUCAUUGAGAAACCCAUUUGUUGCCAUGGGAGCAAAACUGAGUUCCCUCCCCUAGUUUCGUGUCUGUUGAAUAUUUGGCUGGUACUUGCCCCGAGUUUGUUCUAGAACAAUGGUUUAGCCAGGUCCCACCACCUCCCUACGACAUGCUAAGCCAUAGCCUCUGGUGAGCAAGGGUAUGUGUACACAAAGUCUAGGGCCCAUUGCAGAGUCAGGGUGGGGAGGAUGAACCAACAACCACCAGACUCAAAGGAAACACCCAACAGCAUCCUUCCGUUUCAUGCCUCCUUUCCCUACUGAUGCAAAAAAAAAAAAAAAAAA